AGUGAACGCUGGCGGUAGGCCUAACACAUGCAAGUCGAACGGCAGCACAGUAAGAGCUUGCUCUUACGGGUGGCGAGUGGCGGACGGGUGAGGAAUACAUCGGAAUCUACUUUUUCGUGGGGGAUAACGUAGGGAAACUUACGCUAAUACCGCAUACGACCUACGGGUGAAAGCAGGGGAUCUUCGGACCUUGCGCGAUUGAAUGAGCCGAUGUCGGAUUAGCUAGUUGGCGGGGUAAAGGCCCACCAAGGCGACGAUCCGUAGCUGGUCUGAGAGGAUGAUCAGCCACACUGGAACUGAGACACGGUCCAGACUCCUACGGGAGGCAGCAGUGGGGAAUAUUGGACAAUGGGCGCAAGCCUGAUCCAGCCAGACCGCGUGGGUGAAGAAGGCCUUCGGGUUGUAAAGCCCUUUUGUUGGGAAAGAAAAGCAGCAGGUUAAUACCCCGCUGUUCUGACGGGACCCAAAGAAUAAGCACCGGCUAACUUCGG
Molecule: ribosomal RNA, 491 nt
Filed under: uncultured bacterium
Lineage: Bacteria
Description: partial 16S ribosomal RNA
Rfam family: Bacterial small subunit ribosomal RNA
Source: RNAcentral